GUGCUUGCUUCAGCAGCACAUAUACUAAAAUUGAAAUGAUACAGAGAAGAUUAGCAUGGCCCCUGCACAAGGAUGACGUAAAUUUGUUAAGCGUUCCAUAUUUUU
This 105-nucleotide small nuclear RNA is filed under the name Echinops telfairi (small Madagascar hedgehog). The record is from RNAcentral. Lineage: Eukaryota; Metazoa; Chordata; Mammalia; Afrosoricida; Tenrecidae.